RNAcentral lists this long non-coding RNA (277 nucleotides) under Cicer arietinum (chickpea). RNAcentral's name for it is "long non-coding RNA (CARI_LNC002909)". Lineage: Eukaryota; Viridiplantae; Streptophyta; Magnoliopsida; Fabales; Fabaceae. The record is from RNAcentral.
CAAUUUCCAAUUCCCUUUUCACGUCAGCCCAUCUUCCUCUUUCUCUUCCUCUGUUUCAAAAAUAAAACAAGCUAUGUUAGUGUUUUUUUCAACAAAACUCAAAAAUAAACCACCAUUUAUUUACUAGAUCUAAGUUUCCAUUCGAGAAGUGACAGAAGAGAAAGUUGCUCAUUGCCACGUUGCGGUGCUAGUGAUCUAGUUUUCGACGCGACGCACGAACUUAAAUUUUACCGGAAUUAAAUACGGUACCGUAAUCGCGUGUUAGAGCUAACGUUAA